Molecule: transfer RNA, 48 nt
Filed under: Eutrichosiphum sp. QL-2014
Lineage: Eukaryota; Metazoa; Arthropoda; Insecta; Hemiptera; Aphididae
Description: partial tRNA-Leu
Source: RNAcentral
AAUGCAAUGAACUUAAAAUUCAUUUAUAAAGAAUAAUCUUUUUUUAGA